Long non-coding RNA from Nelumbo nucifera (sacred lotus), 763 nucleotides. RefSeq lists it as uncharacterized. The record is from RefSeq and is a predicted model, not a curated record. Lineage: Eukaryota; Viridiplantae; Streptophyta; Magnoliopsida; Proteales; Nelumbonaceae.
GUCCAUUAUCACCCCGCGGGAAAUCUUCACUCCCAGUAUAGUCGAAUUUUCCAUCGUCCCCUUCUCUCUUACUCUAAAGAAUCGCUUGAUCGAGCUGCAAGAUCUCCCCCGUUCUGACUCGAACGAACGCCCAUACUCGGAUUUUCUCCAUCAUCCCCUUCUCUUCCACUCUAUCAUCAAGAAUUGAUUUUAUUAGGCCUGCAACAUCAAGAAUCAUCCCCUUCUCUUUCACUCCGUCCUCUCUCUAUCUUUCUAUUUUUGAUUUGAGUGUCUUUCUUGGGAAAACCCUAGUGGCAUUACGACACCAUUGCCGCCGGAAGAGUUGUGGUCACUCCCCCUUCUCUCUCACUCUAUCAAUAAGCAGUUGAUGGAGCGUGCAACAUCUCCCCUGCUCUCACUCAAACGAUCUCCAGCUUGCUAAAACCACUGUCUCUCUCUAUCUUUCUUUUUGUAACCGAAUGUCCUUCUUGAGAGAAUCGGCAUUACGGCACCAUUGCCGCUGGAAGAGUUGUGGCUUUAGGCUUGGUUGAAGGUGGAUUUAUCUAUUUGUGGCAUUUGGAAAGGCAAGGUUGAACAUGGUAAAGGAGGAUACUUCACAUGUGUAGAUGGAGACAUUUGAUCAAAUUUUACAUGACAAUUUUUUUUUUUUUUUGGAUCGAGUUUCAUGUAUUCAAGAAACUUGAAUUUGUAGCAAACACAUGGAUGUUAAAGCACCUUGAGAUAUAGUUCAUGCAUUGAAGAACCUUUUAAUGGAAUUUUAAAU